Non-coding RNA from Populus trichocarpa (black cottonwood), 108 nucleotides. The record is from Rfam. NCBI's taxonomy places the organism in Eukaryota, Viridiplantae, Streptophyta, Magnoliopsida, Malpighiales, Salicaceae.
AGGACCCAAUUCUCAUUGGUCAUGUGUCGGGAUCCAAUUAUCAUUGGGUCCUGUGUCAGGACCCAAUUCUCUUGGGUCCUGUGUCAGGACCUAAGGCUAAGGGGCCAU